This 253-nucleotide ribosomal RNA is filed under the name uncultured bacterium. RNAcentral describes it as "partial 16S ribosomal RNA". It matches the Rfam family "Bacterial small subunit ribosomal RNA", at positions 524 to 776 of the family's 1533-position model. The record is from RNAcentral.
UACGUAGGGUGCAAGCGUUGUCCGGAAUUAUUGGGCGUAAAGGGCUCGUAGGCGGUCCAUCGCGUCGGGAGUGAAAAGCUGGGGCUUAACCCCAGUCCUGCUUUCGAUACGGGUGGACUAGAGGUAGGCAGGGGAGAACGGAAUUCCUGGUGUAGCGGUGAAAUGCGCAGAUAUCAGGAGGAACACCGGUGGCGAAGGCGGGUCUCUGGGCCGAUAUUGACGCUGAGGAGCGAAAGCGUGGGGAGCGAACAGG